UACGGAGGGGGCUAGCGUUGUCCGGAAUCAUUGGGCGUAAAGAGCGUGUAGGCGGUCCGGUAAGUCCGUUGUGAAAGUCAGGGGCUCAACCCUUGAAUGCCGGCGGAUACUGUCGGGCUAGAGUCCGGCAGAGGCAAGUGGAAUUCCCGGUGUAGCGGUGAAAUGCGCAGAUAUCGGGAGGAACACCUAUGGCGAAGGCAGCUUGCUGGGACGGUACUGACGCUGAGACGCGAAAGCGUGGGGAGCAAACAGG
RNAcentral lists this ribosomal RNA (253 nucleotides) under uncultured bacterium. RNAcentral describes it as "partial 16S ribosomal RNA". It matches the Rfam family "Bacterial small subunit ribosomal RNA", at positions 524 to 776 of the family's 1533-position model. The record is from RNAcentral.